Molecule: long non-coding RNA, 8003 nt
Organism: Serinus canaria (Common canary)
Lineage: Eukaryota; Metazoa; Chordata; Aves; Passeriformes; Fringillidae
Exons: 4
Source: RefSeq, a predicted model, not a curated record
UGGGGAGGUGGGAGGCACUUCUUCAUCUUCGGCUUGAGAUACAGGUUUUCCAAGCCACAGUCUUUUGGGUGGGCUUCAGGCGGUGUGGGUUUUUUUGUGUUGCUUUGAAGAAGGUGGUGUGCAUUUCCAAGGGAUGCUACCGCAAUCUCUGCUCCUUUGCUGCAACGCAGGAAUCCUUUCCCCAGUUUAAAACUGCCGUUGAACUCUUUCCCCUUCUUCCAGAGAUGCAGACAGAUAGGACCCAGGCUAUUUUCUCUUUACUUCAAUGAAUUAAUUAAAAGAAAUAAUUUACCGAUUGUAUCUUGCUACUAGAUAGCAGAUCUUCCAACAAGUCCUGGCUAAUAAGACUUAAGAGUAGCAUAAUCUCACUGUAACUUCAGGGAUGUGCUAUCUAGACGUGGUAUCUUUGAUUAGAUCGCAUUAGAUUAAUCUUUUAAUUCUAUUCUUUGUGCUCUACAGGCUUUAAAUCUCGGCUUGCUUCGUCUCUCACCCUGCCCCAUGUCACCAGCAGGUCGGCCAGGCUGCAGUCCUUAGCCCAGCUGAGUGACUUCGCUGGGCAUGGUUUUGUUUCCCUUCCCCGUCUAGGGCUGGGACUGGGGACUGGCUCGUGUUCGAAUGUCAGACGAGGAGCUCUAAGUUAUUGCAACUGAAUAAUCGCAGAAGAACGUAAAUAUGUCAAAGCAGUGUCAAGAGAUUUCUUUGCAGGGAUACCCUUAUCUGAGUAGGCGUGUUUUUGACUGCCUGACUGAGUAUAGUCUCUCUCUUGCUGGAGACCAAACUCUCCUUGUCCUAUUUGGAGGCAAGUGCUGCCAUGGCCAGUGGCAAUGCAUACUUCACCUGUGCUCCCCUGUGGCUUUGCCCUGACCCCAUCCAGAAGAUAACAGGGCUGGGGUACAGAAGAACAUCCCUUGGAGCCAAGUCUCGGGCUGUUAUUCACAGAGCAGUGCCAGAAGGAGAUGUAAAUUCAUACAUUUAGUGUGUGGCCCUUGCUGGAGCCAGUGCAGGGCCAUGCUGGAUUGGGACACCUCUUUGGUGGCUGCUGCCCCAGCAUCUUUCAAGCCAGAGGUGGCAUGUGGAUCCUGAGAGGGAGCAGUGAUGCUUGGAGUAGGAGUCUCUGCUGGAAACAGAGCACAAGGGGCAUCAAAAGGAGCCAUUAAAACCCAAGCUGUGGCUUGGAUCUGAUGCCACUGUGGACAUUUCUGAGGACCUGGAGUUUUUGGCUGAUGGGUUGCUUUGCAGAUCAGGAUGGCUGGUGUAGCCAGAGCUGCUGUGCUGGAGUGUGCUGUGCCUCCUUGCCACGUCUAAAGGCUGCACGGCCCAACUGCUGGAUGGCAUAUUGUACAUGGCAGACUGGCAAGCAGUGGUAACAAAAUGGUUUUGUCCCCCAACAAAGUUAAUUGAAUGAGAUUUAGUGUUGCUAAGAGAUUUGGACUGCAUCCCUCGAACUUCAGGAGAUUAGGCUGCCAAGCAGGAGGCACUGCAGAGGGGCUGGCCCCGUGCCAGUAAACAAAGCUUUAUCAGGAUGAUAUGUUAAUAUUUGUGUGCACUGUAAAAUUAAAAAAAAAAGGGGGGAGGGGCAGAGUGGUGGACUGCCUCAUCUGCUACUCUGGCAUAGAAAUUCCCAUUGAAGCUGAUGGUAACACGCUAAUGCUUCUGCAAAAAAUGUGAUUUCAAAACAGCUUGGUUGCAAUGGAAAACAGAUGCCUAAUGCAGUCCACCUUCAUCUGUGGCUCAGCAGAUCCUACAUGGGAAAAUAUUUGUCUUAUGAGAAGGCACAGAGGCCCCAGUUGACAUCAGAGCUGAGUUUGGUGGCGGGCUUCUUUGGGCUGCAGCAAUGCUGACUCAGCAGGGUGUGGAUGGAUACAGGAUUUCACUGCCUGGGCACCAAGCUGGCCAUGCCUGGGUUCACCAUCCCUGGAAAACUGUGUGACCAUGUGAGUGCAAGACUGCACUUGAGGUGGCGAACCAUGAUGAAAAGCUCAGCCUACAGGAAAGAAAGUGAACAAAACUGAUCAGAAAUGCAGGCAGUUGUGAGACUCUUGGUUUCUUUCACCUGACACAAUAUGGACAGGGAGAAUGCCAGGAGCACCACAGUGGAUCUUGCAGGCUGAGAAGGUGCUCCUGAAUUUCAUCUGAACUUUGGACAAUUCAAACAUCAAAGCUGGUGCCAAAGUGUAUUUUUCUGAAUUAAUUGCUGAAAGAAGUUAACAGGAGAAGAUAAUGGAGUAGAUGCUGAAAGUAAGAAACAACAGGAUGGUCAGGAGGCAAUUCCCUGUUGGCUUAGCUGGUGAUGUGUGCCAUGGUUAGAAGAAAUGUUUUCUGUAUGUGGAUGUGUGUGAGAUGUUUGAGAAAGCCCCUGGCAGUACUCCUGCCAGGUUCUGCCUUGCUUACUGCUAAUAGGUGUUCACCCUGGGGAUUUGGGGAAGUGGAUCUGAGGGUGCUGGAAGCACACAUGGAUGGGUGUGGAGUGUCCCCACUUCAGUGACUGCUGACCUGAGUCUUACCAGAAUCUGUAGUGCUAUUUUCAUCUGAGGACCACUGCAAAUGUGGUACACCUGGUGACCACAGCAUCAAAGUGUAGCAUGGACUUCUUUCACCAUAUGAAAACUGAAGGACCUGCAUAGAUGUUGGGAGAAAGGGGAAGACCUUGGGGUUUCAUAAGAUAAAGGGCAGCACAGCCCACAGAGCUUAACAGUUUUAGCUGCAGCUGUAACACAGGAGCUACAGCUUUCCUUUUUUUGCCAAUAGACAGGUAAAGCCUUGGCUGUGCAGAUCACACUUUUCUUUCUCUUCCAACUUACUGCCUGCUUUCUUAAGCACUUUGCCUAAAAUCCUGGUCCCAGUGAAGCAAAAUGGCAAAUAUCCCACUGGCUCCAGUGGGACAGGUGCUGUUUCUCAGCUACAGUGACACACUAGCCCUCUUCCCUGGCUAAACUCUGAACCUACACAUCCAGAAGUCACAUAAAGACAACACUGAGGUUGCAGGAAAUCCUUAUUUUUGAUAUAAAGAACAAUCUGUAGGCUGACUCAGCUAAACUUUAGAUCACUGACAUGAAGAGUAAGGCUUGGGAGCCUCAGUCCAGAGAGAAAUUCAAGCCCAGCCUGAUGAACUGCUGUCCUCUGUCUCUACAAGACAGAUCAGAUGUGUCUGCAUGGGUUUUAGUAGACCUACAAGACGUUUCCUCUUUGCCACCCCCCCACCUGCCAGCACUGGGGUGAGGUACAAGUGUGACAUUUGUGCUGUUUUAUAGCCUGCAAGCCUGCCCAACCCCUGAAAUACCCAGACUCCAGGAGAGGGGAUGAGGAAUGCAUCAAGCAUUUAUUGGCUUGGCAGCUGAUAGCUGGGUGAGGAUAGAUACUUGUGUGUGUCCCAUUAUCUGGCUCUGGGAAUAAGGUGGUGAUUCACUCCAAGUGCUUUAUCACAGCUCCACAUCAGAAGGGAACUAUACAGAAAACUUAUCUCAGGACUGUCUUGACUUUUUCAGAUUUCAAUAAUUAUGUGUAUCCAAUUGGUUGUAAGUUUUAUAUUCCUUUAAUGAGGCUUUUCCAUUUCAACAGUCAGUUGUUUGCACAGAAAAACUCCCACUUCAUAUUAUCUUUUAUUGCCCUAGGCUGCAUGUGUCUAAUUUUUCCUGUAUCCCAGAAACACUCUCUCCAGCAUUUUGGGAGGAUUCAGCUUGAGUGCUGACCUGCCUCCUUGAGUGCUCAGGAAACACAGAGCCUUGCACAGAGCAGCACUCUGUGCUGGCAUACAACAACAGGAGCUAGGAAGCCUAAAGCUAACUCAAAUUCAUCCUGGUGGAAACGUUAUUAUAGUGGAUGAACUAUAUCACUGAAGAAAAGCUGGAUUUAUCUCCAAACACCACAUCUCCCAACUCCAUAGGAGUUCAAAUGAGCUAAUCCUAGCAACUCUAAAUGAUGUAAGGCAACUUUCAGUCCAAAAGCCUUUUCUCCUGUCAAUUUUCUCCUGUGACUUUUCUCCAUUUGUGUGUCUUUCCAUGCUCAACUGGCAUCAGCAGCAGAGAGGGAGGAAAAUAAUAACUACAGCAGUCACUGCCAGAGCAAAAAGGGAAGUGUGCAACUUUUUUUUGUAAUGUCCAGAGAGGGAAAAACCAUGAGCACAGAACUUGUGUGCUGAGUUUAAUCUUAACAUUCCUUCUAGUAAGAACUUAUGUUGUAUUUAAAAAGUUAGUUGAUGAAAAUAGAUCUUAUAUUAAAAGUAUUAAAAUAAUAUUGAAAUUAUUUUCUCUGGUUUAAGAAACACCAGCUAAAAGUUUUUGUUCAUAUUUUUCUUUUUUGUCUGGGUUGCAAGGAUUGAUUUAUCUGUUCAAGUAAAAUGCUGGUACUGAAACCAUCACCAGGGCUGGCCCCUUGAAAUAACAGCUCUUCAUUUCUCUCCUCUGUGUUUGGCUGGAAAGGGGCUCCUUGGCUGCACAAGGAGCUCCUCACUGACAGCCUCCUUCUGCUGGGGCUUCAGGAGCUGAUGGAGUGAGGGGGAAUGGAGAAGCUAAGCCUCCUUCUCCUCUGGUUUUAAUGUCAUUUACGAAGAAAGUAUCGGCAGUUCUUAGUUUCACAUUUUGAUCUCAUUUCCCAUUCGGCAGCUCAGUACAGAUGUGGAUUUUCCAAGCCAUCUGAUAUGUUUGGAUAAUAAAAGCCUGUUAGGUCUUUUGGGAAAAAGCUGAUAUACAUUUGCCAGCAUUUUUAUAGAUGUUUUCCAAGCACAGUUUUCCAACUGAACCCCAGAGGAUGGGCAGGCUGAGAGCUGCUGGAGGGCUGUGUGCUUAUUUUCACCCAUUUUUAAUGUGCUUGAAAAAAGAAAGAAAACAAUGCCCUUUCUUUGUGACCAACAUCUCUAAAAUGAUUCAGUUCUGGGGGUUUUCGUACUGAAGACUUUCGAAUAAAAUCUUAGUUCAUAUAUUUUAACCUAGUUUUCUGUUUUUCUGCCAAAACAUUGAAAAAGUUGCGCUCUCUUCCCCAUACAUGAAAUUAUGAGAGAUUUUCACAUGCUCUGGAUCAGGAAAAGCAAAUUAAAAUCCUACACUAUGUGUUUUGGAAAGCCCUUGGAGCUGUCAGUUCCCAUGGGGAGCACCCAAGACAUGAACUACAGUGCAUUUUGGGCCACCUUGCAGACCUAUUGUGAGAUGGUUAUUUCUCCAAGGAGAUGUACCCUGGUCCUCUGUGCUGCAUGUUUGCUUCCCACUCCCUUCUGCCAUUCUGAGUACCCUUACUCUUUCUCUGAGAAAUAUCCUUUCCUUCUGAAACUGAUCCUUGUCCUUUCAAGUUUCUUCUCUUCCUUUGUUUUGAGUAGUUCUACAGAAUAAAAUAGAGGAAUGUGAAUUCCUCCUUCAUCUUUUCUACCUUCUUUCUUAUGAUAUGUUCUCCCACUGGAAGGGCAAACACAGUCUUUAGAACUGCUCUUCAUGAGGUGGAGAAGUUGGAUGCAAGGCUUUGCAUGGAUCCCAGUGCAUGUGGAUCUAGAAAUCACCAUGUCCAAGUGAAUCCAGGGCUCAGCACACACUGAUUUUUCAAGACUAAGACUGAAGACACCAUUGCUUAAUAAAGCUGUCUGCAGAGAGACCCUCUAGAGAACUCUCACUGGCCUCAGAUGUCAAAUGUCUUCAGCCUUGUCACAGUAGAGAAAAUUACACAAAAGCAGAUAUCUGUUCCCCAAAAAGUGGCUUUGUUUUGCUGUUGUGUGUGAGCUGAAAAGCCUCCUGUGCCUACAGAAGGAAGAUUUUUUUUCUUAGUACUCCUAUAUCAUUAGAAGAUUAUUCUCUUAGAACCUAAAAACAACAAAGAAAGUUCAAAUACUAGGCAAGAAGACUGUUACAGGUGACAUAGCUGUAAUUUGCUGACAUUUUAAUCAGCACAGUAACACUGAAGAUCAUGAUGCUCUGGCCUGUUUAUUCUUUCCUCAGCUGUUCAGUUAAUGGAUGGAUUAAUGGUAGCUGUCAAGCUUGAGCUGAAGGUACUGAAGGUUUUUGCAACACUGCUCUGUCCACUUGAAGGCAAGCAGAAUGGUUGGCUUCAGAAAAAUGUCAAUUAGAAAGCAAUUUCCAUGUAUUCACAGCUUACUCAAAGUGUUAUCAUUUUACCCAAAUGCUUUCUGUGCUGCUUGCUCUUUCAAUGCUCAUCUGUUUAUUUCUGUUACCUACUUUAUUGUAAAGUCCAAGAGAUCAGACUGUCUCCUUUUCUGUAUCCAUGCAAAGUGCUCACUGCAGUCUGGCUUUCCUUCUUGCAGGAAGUCCCUGCAAGGUGCUGCUGCGAUUAAUGUGAGCAUGGAAAAUUUGAAUAACCUCCUUGUAUCUGCUCUGAGUGAUGAAUGUGUGUGAGGAAGUCUCCGAGGAUUUUUCCUACAAUAAAGUAUUAUUUUUCACAUUAACAAUUCCAAAAUAACUGAACUUUGACUUGGACUUUUCAGUCCAUGUUUCCCAGAGUUUGUGUUCACUAAGCUGUUCUGCUGCUGAGAGUGAAAAUCUGGCUCCUUGAGCCUUGCCCAGUCCCAGGAAACAGUGGCCAACCCAAGCUGGCUUUUGCUGCUAGAUUUUGAGGAGCAGAUUUUUUUGUUUGUUUGUUUGCACCUCUAUAAACUUCCAUACCACACUAUAGCUUGAGCUCAUAUCUUCAAAAAGCAUGUGAAAAUAUUUCAAAUUAAUGAAGAUGCAUUUUACAAAUAUAUAUUUUUAGCUGGUCAAGGAAAAAUUGCUUAUUAAAAGACAAUACUCUUUUUACAGGUGUAUCACAGUGGUGGGGGAAGGCAUGGAUGUGGUAAAGCUAUUCACAUGUGCCACUGAUGCUUGAUAUGGGCCUCCCUGCUCACUGGGGAGAUAUCUGGAAGUUGUCAUUGGAGCACUUGCUCUCCAGAAGCCUUUCACCAACUCUGUUUGCAGCUUUGGAUGAGGAGUGAAUUCUGUGCUGACCUGAGUAAAACACAGUAUCUGCUUUCCUUCACAAGCUUCAUGAACUUCUCUCACAUCUCUAUAGCCUCUGAGCUAGAUUACAUCUAACCCCAGCAGCUGUUAAAUAAUCUGCACUGAGAGUGUUCAGCAUGACUUGACAAAGGACCCUAUAACCAGGCAUGGACCCUCUAGAAACCAGGUUCUAGUGGGCACAGCAUAGGAACAUGCACAUCUGGUUAAAACACCAUCAUGACUCCAAUGUGGUCCAAGCAGGCAACACAGCUCCAAGCAGGAGAUUCCAUUCUUUCCCCCAGGAAGCACAAAGCCUUGCAAGCCAAGCAGAAACCAAGUGGGUGGCACUACUUGCUGUGGUUAGGAUACUGGAGGACACAGGUCAGGGGGGAUAUGUUGUGCCUGCUGUUGUGCCUGCUGUUCACAUGUGGCACUGGCUAACUGGUCUCUUUGGGCCUUGGGUCUCCAGCUGUAAGAGGAGAGAGGAAUAGUGCCCUCUGCCUUAGCUGUUUGCACUUUGACUUUUGCAAUGGGCAUGCUACUGUACCUGAGGAGAUUCAGGACUAUUGUACCUGAGGAGAUUCAGGACUUACUCUGGGGACAGAAGCUGCAAGCAAGUUAAAUCAUCUUAUAAGAAACUAAUUUCAAUACAGAAAGGUAAGACACAAGAGUUAGAAUAGAAUAAAUUCACCUGAAAGCAGGAACUCAGCAAGAGGUUGGAUGGACUAAACCAACAGCAUUGCCAAGAAUAAAGAUAUGUCUGUUUAGGGCUGUCAGACAAUUCCUGUUGGGAUGUCUCCAUUGGUCAAGCUGCCACCCAAGCUGUGAAGAGGCACAUCUGGCUCACUUGUCUCCAGCCUGGAGCCCUGGCAAUCGCAGAAGCAAUCAUUGUGAUGUAGGAAGACCAUGGCUAAACUCUUCAUUUCCUGGCUGUUUUUUGCAUCCUCUCCCGGGCAUUUAAUUGCAUUCAGCACUGCAUUCCACUAAUGAAUGGAGCUGGCAGGAAGGGGGGUUCAUUGACCUCUCUCAGGAGAUGGUUUUGGGUGUGGGAGUCCUUGGGAGUAACUCACUAAUUUCAUCAUUAAAAUUGUG